ACCGCUUGUCGCUCAGCCUGACCCGUACCAUCGGCUCCAGCCGCUCCCAUGCUCCAUCAACACCGGGGCAACGGGAGCAUGUCGGAUGGCAUUUUUACAAGGUAUCUCAAUGCCUUGGUGAUGGGACAUGGAUCGCUGCGGUAAGAGCGCACCGGGGGACUGGUAACAGGACCCGCAUGGUAAACCCCACCGGGAGCAAAACCAAAUAGGGACGACGCGAGGGCAACCUCAGGCCGGUUUCGAGGCCGGUCGUCCGGGUUGGUUGCUCGAGCUGCGGCGCAAGCCGUCGCCUAGAGGAAUGGCCGUCACGUCCGCGUCGCGAGGCGCGGGCCUUACAGAACCCGGCUUACAGGCCAACUGGCAAU
This 365-nucleotide unclassified non-coding RNA is filed under the name Devosia enhydra. Its description in RNAcentral is "Bacterial RNase P class A". It matches the Rfam family "Bacterial RNase P class A", at positions 125 to 367 of the family's 367-position model. Rfam says of the family: Ribonuclease P (RNase P) is a ubiquitous endoribonuclease, found in archaea, bacteria and eukarya as well as chloroplasts and mitochondria. Its best characterised activity is the generation of mature 5'-ends of tRNAs by cleaving the 5'-leader elements of precursor-tRNAs. Cellular RNase Ps are ribonucleoproteins. The record is from RNAcentral. Lineage: Bacteria; Pseudomonadati; Pseudomonadota; Alphaproteobacteria; Hyphomicrobiales; Devosiaceae.